UCAUACGUCCUAUCGUGUGUGCCUCGUACCUGCCGUUCGAUAUUCGCCUUUGCGCUUGAACGCUAGAGCAGAUAGUUCAUCGAGCUAGAACGGCGUUACCGUACCACAGCGGGCGUCGGCUCGAGGCGUGUUUCACCCGACGUAGAAUCGGAACUCGACGUCAGUUUGUGCUUGGACAGUCUGCGGAUGCAGGCUUGCCUUCGCUGCACGACACGCUGGAGAAACAUGGCUGUUCGGAUAUAUCCUGGGAGCCGCCUCUCUCCUUCGUGAUCAUGCAUGGAAUGCGUUGUUGUCGGUUGGCAAUGCGGGUUUGUGCUUGACACCCACCAGUGGGUAGGCACAAAGAACACUAAACCCGUGUUCGCAUCCGAUUCGCUGGACCCUUUUUUCUAGAAGGUAGCAUGUGAGUUUGUUCGCCAUUAAUGAGCGCUGAGGCUCCGUUAGCGGACCAUCAGUUGCCAGUGCUACACUCAGAGUGAGUGUCCGGCCUUCGGCUAUCACGAUGAUGCCCAGCUGCUGCUGUCCUUCAAGGAGCUCGUUGCGCUCCUGCAUCCAGCGCGGGCACUGUAAGCCUAAAUAUGUCAGCGUCUUGGGGGUCUCAUCCCCACAGCAGGGACAGUGUGAUUCCCAGUGCGAUUCCAGUGUUCCCAUACGGCUUAGAGCCCGUGCUGGUAGCCAGAAGCCACCAACGCGGAUUUUCGCGAGCCACUGGGUACCUCGAGCAAGUCCCGGGAACUCCAGCGCCUCCCACCAGUACUUGCAUGUGUAUGCUAGGUUGUAGUUCCGGUAUAGAGUCAAGCCGGCGUUAAGGGCGCGACUGACUGCAUGUCUACAUUCCCGUACUGUUGUUUGGACCGUUCGCUUCAGGCGACGGGAGAAUUCUGUAUUCCUGGGGAACGAUUGGAGCAUGUUGUCUCCUAAGAGGCGCUUCACCCAAAUCUGCGUUGAUUUCAUCCAAGUGUUCUUGCGGUGCGUUGGGGUCUGCAUGAAAACCCGACUCAAAGAGGUGCGCAUAGUGCGCCCUUUGGCCCGUAUGCGUGCCCGGCAACCUGGUGCUAUCGCUUCUAUUGAGAGUAUUUGGAGUUCAGGUCCGAGUGCCAGCGGGGUGGUUGCUCUGCUCUGCACUGAGCAUCCAACAACAACGAGUCUCAUUGCCCUGUUGGCGGCUGUCUGCAGACGCGAGGCAUUUGGGUGCUUCAUGCCGCACCAUUCAGCACCCCAGGUCGCAGGCUGGAUGAUACACAUCCUUCGUGCCCUGGUACGGAUUGCUAAGGGGAUAGAGGGGUCGGAUAGGACUGGGCGUGCGAUCGCUGUACGUCUAUGCAUCUUGGCGAUCACCACGUCGACGUGUGCCUUUUCGUCGAGCGUCGGCGUGAGACCGACCCCCAGGUAGCGAUAUUUUUCCACGAUCGGAAUUUCCUGAUUCUGCAACCGCCACGAGCGAUUGCGAAUGCUCUGCGAGUCUCCAUGGAUGACCAUGACGCCGCACUUCGAUGCUCCUACGUUCAUCUCCCAGCGAUCGGCCCAGGCGCUGACUUGUUCCAUGCUAGCCGCAAGCGUUUCCAGGGCGGGUGCCAACAGCACGACAUCGUCCGCAAGUAGAAGGCCUUCGAGGCAGUUCCCAUGUGGGCGCUCCUCACCGAGCAUCUCCACAGUCUAUCCACGGCGCCUCAGCCGCGAAUUGUCUGCAGUUGUUCAGCAGAUCGUUGAUGAAGAUGUUAAAACGGAGCGGGGAUGCGCGCUCGCCCUGCCGCAGUCCACGGCGGAUUCUUAUGGAAGGGGUUCUUCAGCCGUCGCCCAGUCGGAUGCGCAUCCACGAGUCUGCAGAGAGCGCACGGAAGAACGCCAAGCACUUUGCGGAGACUCCGGCUCGUUCCAUCUUCAAAAAUAGGGCCUCGUGCGGGACCGUGUCAAAGGCCUUUUGGAAGUCAAUGAAGCAUACGUAAGUUGGUUGUCGGUCACGAAUAAAGCGACGUUGCGCCACUUCAGUGAGGGUCAGGGCAUGGCUCAUGCACUCCUCGCGGCUCCGGAAUCCAGCCCUCCCUGGGGCGAAGAACUUGCGUUCCUCGAGGCCUCUCUGGAUCCGGUUCGUGAGGUUGGCGCAAAAGUAGCUUCAUGAUUGACGGGAUGAGGCCGAUAGGCCGGUAGUUGUUCGUGUCUGUGUAUGUGGGAGUCCUUUUUGAGGAUCGGUGCGACCUCGGCAGCCCUCCAUACAUCAGGGAUGUAGGCUUCUUCAAACAUGCGUUGGAUGAGCUCCAGAAGGCGUUUGCCUAAGAUUGUGUCAGGUUUAUCUGGUAUCGAUGGUGUCCCUGUUGUCUCGUAUUUUGGGAUCACCAGUUUCAUCCACUCGGCAGCGAUACCGUCAAUGCCAGGUGUUUUGCGGUUGCAUGAGCUUAACAGGGCCCGAACAGAUUCAGGCCAGAAGAUUGGGUCGUUCCAUUCCGGUACCGGGUCGAGGCGUGGUAGUUCUGCAGCAUAUUGGUGCCAAUAGUUUCGGUUUCGGCAGUGCCCAGUUGCGUCUUCAUGUAAUUCUGUGCCGUGGUCCGUCCAGGCCUCAUUCACUGAGGCACUCUCCGUCCUCAGCGCUUUCUUAUAAAC
Cyanidioschyzon merolae strain 10D is the source of this 2598-nucleotide RNA transcript. RefSeq lists it as hypothetical. The record is from RefSeq and is a predicted model, not a curated record. NCBI's taxonomy places the organism in Eukaryota, Rhodophyta, Bangiophyceae, Cyanidiales, Cyanidiaceae. The transcript has a single exon.